GAUGAAGGACGUGCUAAUCUGCGAUAAGCGCCGGUAAGGUGAUAUGAACCGUUAUAACCGGCGAUAUCCGAAUGGGGAAACCCAGUGUGACUCGUCACACUAUCAUUAACUGAAUCCAUAGGUUAAUGAGGCGAACCGGGGGAACUGAAACAUCUAAGUACCCCGAGGAAAAGAAAUCAACCGAGAUUCCCCCAGUAGCGGCGAGCGAACGGGGAGGAGCCCAGAGCCUGAAUCAGCAUGUGUGUUAGUGGAAGCGUCUGGAAAGGCGCGCGAUACAGGGUGACAGCCCCGUACACAAAAGCGCAUGUGCUGUGAGCUCGAUGAGUAGGGCGGGACACGUGGUAUCCUGUCUGAAUAUGGGGGGACCAUCCUCCAAGGCUAAAUACUCCUGACUGACCGAUAGUGAACCAGUACCGUGAGGGAAAGGCGAAAAGAACCCCGGCGAGGGGAGUGAAAAAGAACCUGAAACCGUGUACGUACAAGCAGUGGGAGCCCCCCCACUAAGCCAGUGGUGAACUC
Molecule: ribosomal RNA, 519 nt
Filed under: Salmonella enterica subsp. enterica serovar Schwarzengrund
Lineage: Bacteria; Pseudomonadati; Pseudomonadota; Gammaproteobacteria; Enterobacterales; Enterobacteriaceae
Description: bacterial LSU rRNA
Rfam family: Bacterial large subunit ribosomal RNA
Source: RNAcentral